This 440-nucleotide ribosomal RNA is filed under the name uncultured bacterium. RNAcentral's name for it is "partial 16S ribosomal RNA". It matches the Rfam family "Bacterial small subunit ribosomal RNA", at positions 338 to 795 of the family's 1533-position model. The record is from RNAcentral.
ACUACGGGCGGCAGCAGUGGGGGAUAUUGCACAAUGGGGGAAACCCUGAUGCAGCGACGCCGCGUGUAGGAAGACGGUCCUCUGGAUUGUAAACUACUGUCCCCAGGGACGAAGAUGACGGUACCUGGGGAGGAAGCUCCGGCUAACUACGUGCCAGCAGCCGCGGUAAUACGUGGGGAGCGAGCGUUGUCCGGAAUUACCGGGUGUAAAGGGAGCGUAGGCGGGGAUGCAAGUUGGGUGUUAAAUCUACCGGCUCAACUGGUAGUCGCACUCAAAACUGCAGCUCUUGAGUGAAGUAGAGGCAGGCGGAAUUCCUAGUGUAGCGGUGAAAUGCGUAGAUAGUAGGAGGAACACCAGUGGCGAAGGCGGCCUGCUGGGCUUUUACUGACGCUGAGGCUCGAAAGUGUGGGGAGCAAACAGGAUUAGAUACCCGAGUAGUC